UGAAGUUAAAGGCUGUGGNUUAACCAUAGUACGCUUUGGAAACUGUUUAACUUGAGUGCAGAAGGGGAGAGUGGAAUUCCAUGUGUAGCGGUGAAAUGCGUAGAUAUAUGGAGGANCACCGGUGGCGAAAGCGGCUCUCUGGUCUGCAACUGACGCUGAGGCUCGAAAGCGUGGGGAGCGAACAGGAUUAGAUACCCUGGUAGUNCACGCCGUAAACGAUGAGUGCUAGGUGUUAGGCCCUUUCCGGGGCUUAGUGCCGCAGCUAACGCAUUAAGCACUCCGCCUGGGGAGUACGACCGCAAGGUUGAAACUCAAAGGAAUUGACGGGGGCCCGCACAAGCGGUGGAGCAUGUGGUUUAAUUCGAAGCAACGCGAAGAACCUUACCAGGUCUUGACAUCCCGAUGCCCGCUCUAGAGAUAGAGUUUUACUUCGGUACAUCGGUGACAGGUGGUGCAUGGUUGUCGUCAGCUCGUGUCGUGAGAUGUUGGGUUAAGUCCCGCAACGAGCGCAACCCUUAUUGUUAGUUGCCAUCAUUCAGUUGGGCACUCUAGCGAGACUGCCGGUAAUAAACCGGAGGAAGGUGGGGAUGACGUCAAAUCAUCAUGCCCCUUAUGACCUGGGCUACACACGUGCUACAAUGGCCGGUACAACGAGUCGCAAGUCGGUGACGGCAAGCUAAUCUCUUAAAGCCAGUCUCAGUUCGGAUUGUAGGCUGCAACUCGCCUACAUGAAGUCGGAAUCGCUAGUAAUCGCGGAUCAGCACGCCGCGGUGAAUACGUUCCCGGGCCUUGUACACACCGCCCGUCACACCACGAGAGUUUGUAACACCCGAAGUCGGUGAGGUAACCUUUUA
This 854-nucleotide ribosomal RNA is filed under the name uncultured bacterium. RNAcentral's name for it is "bacterial SSU rRNA". It matches the Rfam family "Bacterial small subunit ribosomal RNA", at positions 590 to 1444 of the family's 1533-position model. The record is from RNAcentral.